CAUCCGAUACGGGCUAGCUUGAGUUUGGUAGGGGAGACUGGAAUUCCUGGUGUAGCGGUGGAAUGCGCAGAUAUCAGGAGGAACACCAAUGGCGAAGGCAGGUCUCUGGGCCAAUACUGACACUGAGGAGCGAAAGUGUGGGGAGCGAACAGGAUUAGAUACCCUGGUAGUCCACACAGUAAACGAUGGGCACUAGUUGUGGGAACCUUCCACGGUUUCUGCGACGCAGCUAACGCAUUAAGUGCCCCGCCUGGGGAGUACGAUCGCAAGAUUAAAACUCAAAGGAAUUGACGGGGCCCCGGCACAAGCAGCGGAGCAUGCGGCUUAAUUCGACGCAACGCGAAGAACCUUACCAAGGCUUGACAUAUACAGGAAUAUGGCAGAGAUGUCAUAGCCGCAAGGUCUGUAUACAGGUGGUGCAUGGUUGUCGUCAGCUCGUGUCGUGAGAUGUUGGGUUAAGUCCCGCAACGAGCGCAACCCUCGUUCUGUGUUGCCAGCAUUUAGUUGGGGACUCACAGGAGACUGCCGGGGUCAACUCGGAGGAAGGUGGGGAUGACGUCAAAUCAUCAUGCCCCUUAUGUCUUGGGCUGCACGCAUGCUACAAUGGCUGGUACAAAGGGCUGCAAUACUGCAAAGUGGAGCGAAUCCCAAA
RNAcentral lists this ribosomal RNA (652 nucleotides) under uncultured bacterium. RNAcentral's name for it is "bacterial SSU rRNA". It matches the Rfam family "Bacterial small subunit ribosomal RNA", at positions 624 to 1278 of the family's 1533-position model. The record is from RNAcentral.